GACGAACGCUGGCGGCGUGCCUAAUACAUGCAAGUAGGACGCACAGUUUAUACCGUAGCUUGCUACACCAUAGACUGUGAGUUGCGAACGGGUGAGUAACGCGUAGGUAACCUGCCUAUUAGAGGGGGAUAACUAUUGGAAACGAUAGCUAAUACCGCAUAACAGUAUGUAACACAUGUUAGAUGCUUGAAAGAUGCAAUUGCAUCGCUAGUAGAUGGACCUGCGUUGUAUUAGCUAGUAGGUAGGGUAAAGGCCUACCUAGGCAACGAUACAUAGCCGACCUGAGAGGGUGAUUGGCCACACUGGGACUGAGACACGGCCCAGACUCCUACGGGAGGCAGCAGUAGGGAAUCUUCGGCAAUGGGGGGAACCCUGACCGAGCAACGCCGCGUGAGUGAAGAAGGUUUUCGGAUCGUAAAGCUCUGUUGUUAAGGAGGAACGAGUGUGAGAAUGGAAAGUUCAUACUGUGACGGUACUUAACCAGAAAGGGACGGCUAACUACGUGCCAGCAGCCGCGGUAAUACGUAGGUCCCGAGCGUUGUCCGGAUUUAUUGGGCGUAAAGCGAGCGCAGGCGGUUAGAAAAGUCUGAAGUGAAAGGCAGUGGCUCAACCAUUGUAGGCUUUGGAAACUGUUUAACUUGAGUGCAGAAGGGGAGAGUGGAAUUCCAUGUGUAGCGGUGAAAUGCGUAGAUAUAUGGAGGAACACCGGUGGCGAAAGCGGCUCUCUGGUCUGUAACUGACGCUGAGGCUCGAAAGCGUGGGGAGCGAACAGG
Molecule: ribosomal RNA, 773 nt
Filed under: Streptococcus anginosus
Lineage: Bacteria; Bacillati; Bacillota; Bacilli; Lactobacillales; Streptococcaceae
Description: bacterial SSU rRNA
Rfam family: Bacterial small subunit ribosomal RNA
Source: RNAcentral